RNAcentral lists this ribosomal RNA (503 nucleotides) under uncultured bacterium. RNAcentral's name for it is "partial 16S ribosomal RNA". It matches the Rfam family "Bacterial small subunit ribosomal RNA", at positions 29 to 523 of the family's 1533-position model. The record is from RNAcentral.
AUUGAACGCUGGCGGCAUGCCUUACACAUGCAAGUCGAACGGCAGCACGGGAGCUUGCUCCUGGUGGCGAGGGGCGAACGGGUGAGUAAUACAUCGGAACGUACCCAGUAGUGGGGGAUAACGCACCGAAAGGUGCGCUAAUACCGCAUACGACCUACGGGUGAAAGCGGGGGACCGUAAGGCCUCGCGCUAUUGGAGCGGCCGAUGUCUGAUUAGCGAGUUGGCGGGGUAAAAGCCCACCAAGGCGACGAUGAGUAGCUGGUCUGAGAGGACGCUCAACCACACUGGAACUGAGACACGGCCCAGCCUCCUACGGGAGGCAGCAGUGGGGAAUUUUGGACAAUGGGGGCAACCCUGAUCCAGCAAUGCCGCGUGUGCGAAGAAGGCCUUAGGGUUGUAAAGCACUUUUGUCAGGGAAGAAAUCUUUCAGGCUAAUACCCUUGGAAGGAUGACGGUACCUGAAGAAUAAGCACCGGCUAACUACGUGCCAGCCGCCGCGGUAA